Long non-coding RNA from Monodelphis domestica (gray short-tailed opossum), 1809 nucleotides. RefSeq lists it as uncharacterized. Lineage: Eukaryota; Metazoa; Chordata; Mammalia; Didelphimorphia; Didelphidae. The record is from RefSeq and is a predicted model, not a curated record.
GGUAUGAGAAUAGAAUCACUCAUAUGAUGAUGAGAUCUGUAAUUCCUUCAAAUGAGAUAAGAUAGGUCCCCUGGACACUGACCACUGGCCUUGGAUUUUAGAGAACCUGUGUGCCCUACUCCCAACUUGGAAUCUCUUCCUACUGUUAGCCUGUCUACUCCACUGCUCCACUCCUGUCCUCUGAAUCCAACUCUCCAUGGUUUGGCAUUUUGGUCUUUCCGGAUACUCAAUGAUACCAUCCAUGACUGAUGGGAUAUGAAAGAUGUUCAGUUCUGACUCUGUCCUAAAUCCACAGCUUGGCUUCUACCUACAGCUCAGUGCUAGUGGGUAUAUGAAUUGGUUAGCCAACAAACAAUUUUUAUCAAGAGCCUACCUACUAUGUAUCAGUCACUGCACUAUGUAGGCACUAAGGACAGAUAGUUCUUCCAUGAGAGGAUGAAUCUUCCUGUCCCUUGAAAGCCUGAGCUAAGGCUGGAGACAAAAUUUCUUGAACCUAUUGAGUAGUUCAUUAAACAAGAAAAUAAUUUAUAGGAAAAUAAUUCCCAUUUUUUUUCCUUUCAAAAAUGACUCCAAAGCUACAUAUGAACUGGAAUCUUUCUGUCCACUUAUGCUAUUAGCAAAUUCCUUAUAUUCUUCUCUUCCCUGGUCACUGAUGCUUUGAAGCAGUUUUGCACAUGAGUCCUGGAGUAUUACUCCGUAUUAGUUAAUGCCAAUAAAUUGGACUAAGCCAACUUGGUCACAUGCCAGUUUGAUCUGGAUUAGAGACAGAGGCCCAGAGAAUUCAAGUAGAGAAAGGCAGAGAGACAGAAAGGGACAGAGAGAGCCCAAAUGAAAAGCUAUUAGAUGUCUUAGAAUAUCAGUUAAAAUAGUUGUAAAAACAGGGAAAGACUAGAGGAUCUUCAAGGUCCUUCUCUGCUCUGAAAUGUUAUGAUUCUUUGCCUAGAGCUUCUGGGGAUAGAGGUCUUUGGAAGUUUUGGAGGUCUAUUUUUCUAUUUAUCUUUGUAUCCCAAGUGCCCAACAUACUGCCUUAAUAAAUGCUUGAGGAAAUGAAUUAAAUGUAUUCUAAGUUGGAGAUCAAAUUCAUAGCAAGCAAGUCAAUGCAAGCCUAGUAUUUUUAUAUGACAGAUUGAGAAUCAUGGGAACAUCGAAUCAUGGAGUUAGAGCUAGUAGUGGCCUUAGAGAUAAACUUGUAUUAUUUUUUCAUUUUACAGUUGAUGAACUGGAGAUAUCUAGAGAUAAAGUGAUUUGCCCCAAAACUCACAGAUCAUAAUUGACCAAGCCAGAAACUGAACUCGGGUCCUCUGACCCCACAACCAGCAUUCUUUCCAUGGCAAAGAUCAAUUCAGUUUUAAGCACAGUGCCCAAUGCCUAGUAGGCACGCAAUCAAUGUAGUCGAAUGAGAUUGGAUUGUCAUGCCUGGCAAUCUGUUAGGUUAGGAAAGUUGAAUCCUACUAGUAGAGGGCUAACUAGUCUCUAAGGAAUGAGCCAACAUUUGAAUUACUAACCAACCAAGGUUCUGUAAGCCUAAUGAUCAUAUCUGACAUAGGACAUAGAUAUCCUCUAGCACCAUCUAGCUAAUCCCCAAAGCAAGUGAAUUCCUAGCAUCUGACUCCCUGUCCCUAUGGAAAUUUAAACACAUGUGCAGGCACACACACACUCUCUUAGGUAAGACAAGGGUGGAUCUUAGGGAAAAGAGAAAAUUAAGAGUAACAAAGUUAAGUCUAAAGAAAUCCACAUAAAUGUCAAACCCAAAGGCCUCAAAUCAGAAAGAAAGAAAUGCCUCAGCAGAGAAAUAAAUUUGCUCCCAAA